UACGAAGGGGGCGAGCGUUGUUCGGAUUUACUGGGCGUAAAGGGCGCGUAGGCGGCCCUCUUUGUCGCGUGUGAAAGCCCCGGGCUCAACCUGGGAAUUGCGCGCGAAACGGGGGGGCUGGAGUUCGGGAGAGGAGCGUGGAAUUCCCAGUGUAGAGGUGAAAUUCGUAGAUAUUGGGAAGAACACCGGUGGCGAAGGCGGCGCUCUGGACCGAGACUGACGCUGAGGCGCGAAAGCGUGGGGAGCGAACAGG
Molecule: ribosomal RNA, 253 nt
Filed under: uncultured bacterium
Lineage: Bacteria
Description: partial 16S ribosomal RNA
Rfam family: Bacterial small subunit ribosomal RNA
Source: RNAcentral